Nematostella vectensis (starlet sea anemone) is the source of this 114-nucleotide non-coding RNA. Lineage: Eukaryota; Metazoa; Cnidaria; Anthozoa; Actiniaria; Edwardsiidae. The record is from Rfam.
GUGGGAUACGGCGACAAGGCACCGCUUUCCACGUGGGGCAAACUUGUGGGCUCCAUGUGUGCUAUUGCUGGUGUCCUAACUCUUGCACUUCCGGUUCCGGUCAUAGUGUCCAAC